This 472-nucleotide ribosomal RNA is filed under the name uncultured bacterium. RNAcentral describes it as "bacterial SSU rRNA". It matches the Rfam family "Bacterial small subunit ribosomal RNA", at positions 40 to 507 of the family's 1533-position model. The record is from RNAcentral.
CGGCAUGCCUUACACAUGCAAGUCGAACGGCAGCACGGGAGCAAUCCUGGUGGCGAGUGGCGAACGGGUGAGUAAUAUAUCGGAACGUGCCCAGUCGUGGGGGAUAACGUAGCGAAAGCUACGCUAAUACCGCAUACGAUCUAUGGAUGAAAGCGGGGGAUCGCAAGACCUCGCGCGAUUGGAGCGGCCGAUAUCAGAUUAGGUAGUUGGUGAGGUAAAGGCUCACCAAGCCGACGAUCUGUAGCUGGUCUGAGAGGACGACCAGCCACACUGGGACUGAGACACGGCCCAGACUCCUACGGGAGGCAGCAGUGGGGAAUUUUGGACAAUGGGCGCAAGCCUGAUCCAGCAAUGCCGCGUGCAGGAUGAAGGCCUUCGGGUUGUAAACUGCUUUUGUACGGAACGAAACGGUGAGCUCUAAUACAGUUUGCUAAUGACGGUACCGUAAGAAUAAGCACCGGCUAACUACGUG